GGAUAGCUCUAUUGGUAGAGUGCUUGCCUCUCAUGCACAAGGUUCUGGAUUCAAUCCCCAGUACCA
RNAcentral lists this transfer RNA (66 nucleotides) under Marmota monax (woodchuck). RNAcentral's name for it is "tRNA.Glu". Lineage: Eukaryota; Metazoa; Chordata; Mammalia; Rodentia; Sciuridae. The record is from RNAcentral.